Molecule: long non-coding RNA, 1779 nt
Organism: Passer domesticus (house sparrow)
Lineage: Eukaryota; Metazoa; Chordata; Aves; Passeriformes; Passeridae
Exons: 2
Source: RefSeq, a predicted model, not a curated record
AAGACCCACAGGAAAUUACAUACAGAAAGCACUACAAGAAGCAUUUGAAAUCACCUGGGUUUAUUAAAUGCUUGCAGAAAAGUAUGAAUGCACAGAAUAUCAUGCAUUCACAGAAAAGUGUGCAUGCACAGAAGAAAAAUAAUACAAACAAAAAAAUUUCAUGCUUAAUUCUGGGUAAAAAAAGUUUUCUGAUCCCCUAGAAUUGAAAGGGAACAAGUGCUAGCAAGCAGUGAUUAUAUUUUCACCACUGCCAGCAAGGACAGAACUUGGUUGCUCAUUGCAAACAAAAGCAAUGGACAAGGGUGCAUGUGGAUGCUGAGGAACUCACCUCCACAUCAUAGAGUACUUUGAACUGGGAGAGCAGUGUUGCACUGUCAAGAGCAUGUAAACAGGCUGUGAGGUCAGGAUUUUCAGAAUUAUUUACAAAGUGCUGAGCUUGUACCUUCUGAGGGGGAGAUCCCCUAAGAUGCCAUUUGGCAGGAUCUUCUAGGAAGGUGAAGCAUCUCAUUUUCCUCAUCAGCAACCCCAAAAUCUAGAGAUGCUUACUUGCUAGAAUCAGUGUGUCCCUCAGAGGAGGAAAUGAGCUGGGUGCCAGAUUUUUCCAUGCUGUGUUUUUGACAUUACCUACAAAUCCCACAGUGUGCCUUGCUUCCAGGAACUGCCAAGCACUUUCCAAGGAAAUAGGAUACAUAAUCCCUGGAGAGGUAGAACAGGAGCUACUUUAACCCCUCUAUUGAUGCUGGGCUACUGUCAACCCAAGAUCAUGAAUGUCACAAGGCCAGAGUGCAAGAAUAAGCAUGACCUGUGACCCAGAUUCCAGAUCAUCUAGUUCCAUAUAAUUUGUGGCUGGUCAGAGGAAGACUAUAGCAAAGUUGAGACACAAAUCCUCCUGAAUCAUAGAAAAGUUCACCACCCUCAUUGUAAAAAACUUCUUCUUUAUAUCUAAUCUGAAGUGAUCCUCUUUUCUAUGAAUACUUAUAGUUAAAUAUAGAGGGGAAGAAAGAAGAAUAUCAGUCUGGGAAGAAAGAGGCCAAACAAGUUGACAUUACAAUUAUUUUAAAGCAAGCAAAGCAGAAUGGCUAAAUUAUUUAAAAAUUCAAAAUAAAGAAGUGAUGACCACAUUUGACAGGUAUUUAGGUACAAAAAUUACUCCCUUCCUUGGAAACUCCAAAUGACACAGAAAAAAUCCUCUCCACAUUAGCUUCCUGGCUCAGGAGUCCCUACAGCCCCACCUCCUCUUUCAGUGGCCAUCUCUGUUAUCUCUAUUUUUCUUCUCCUCUCUUCUUAGCCUGCUACUCUUUUUGGCCUCAGUUUCCUUGUAGAAACUCUUGCAACCAUGUUGUACCAGACCUCUUUGUGUCUGGGAUGUCCACAUCCUUUGGCCAAAGACUGAGAUGGAAUGGAUUUCACAUCCUCCUGACAGCAUGUGUGCAACAGCACAGAGGUCAGAGCAGCCCUGGCACACCACGCUGAUGAUAACAGGUUCUGCCUUGCCAAACUUUAGGGCUGGAGCAGCAGGGAAGUUUAAUCUUUGCUGAAAGCUUUAUUUGGCCCUAGGAUGGCACCAAGAAGUACCACUCUUACUCUGCACUUCCUGGCCUGUUCCUGCAGCUGUGGAGUGCACAGGGAGCAUCUGCAGAAACAGUCUGGUUGCAGUCAGCGUGACUCCCUGGGGAAUAAAGGGUUGCAAGACUGAGUCUGGCUGGUGCCUACACAUCCAUGUGUGGAGCAACUCUAUGAGGAUUUGCAGGAGUUGUGAAAUAAAGCUGGCACCUCUUC